Molecule: ribosomal RNA, 274 nt
Filed under: uncultured bacterium
Lineage: Bacteria
Description: partial 16S ribosomal RNA
Rfam family: Bacterial small subunit ribosomal RNA
Source: RNAcentral
AUACAGAGGGUGCGAGCGUUAAUCGGAUUUACUGGGCGUAAAGCGUGCGUAGGUGGUUGGAUAAGUCAGAUGUGAAAGCCCCGGGCUUAACCUGGGAACUGCAUUCGAAGCUGCUAGGCUAGAGUAUGGUAGAGGGUAGUGGAAUUCCCAGUGUAGCGGUGAAAUGCGUAGAUAUCGGGAGGAACAUCAGUGGCGAAGGCGGCUACCUGGAUCAAUACUGACACUGAGGUGCGAAAGCGUGGGGAGCAAACAGGAUUAGAAACCCUGGUAGUCC